UACGGAAGGCAGCAGUGGGGAAUAUUGCACAAUGGGCGAAAGCCUGAUGCAGCUAUGCCGCGUGUAUGAAGAAGGCCUUAGGGUUGUAAAGUACUUUCAUCGGGGAGGAAAAAACAAAACUAAUAAUUUUAUUUCUUGACGUUACCCGAAAAAGAAGCACCGGCUAACUCCGUGCCAGCAGCCGCGGUAAUACGGAGGGUGCUAGCGUUAAUCAGAAUUACUGGGCGUAAAGAGCACGUAGGUGGUUUUUUUAAAGUCAGAUGUGAAAUUCCCUGGGCUUAACCUAGGAACUGCAUUUUGAAACUGAAAUACUAGAGUAUCGUAGAGGGAGGUAGAAUUCUAGGUGUAGCGGUGAAAUGCGUAGAUAUCUGGAGGAAUACCUGUGGCGAAAGCGGCCUCCUAAACGAAUACUGACACUGAGGUGCGAAAGCGUGGGGAGCAAACAGGGAUUAGAUACC
Molecule: ribosomal RNA, 458 nt
Filed under: uncultured bacterium
Lineage: Bacteria
Description: bacterial SSU rRNA
Rfam family: Bacterial small subunit ribosomal RNA
Source: RNAcentral